RNAcentral lists this ribosomal RNA (254 nucleotides) under uncultured bacterium. RNAcentral describes it as "partial 16S ribosomal RNA". It matches the Rfam family "Bacterial small subunit ribosomal RNA", at positions 524 to 776 of the family's 1533-position model. The record is from RNAcentral.
GACGGAGGGUGCUAGCGUUGUUCGGAAUCACUGGGCGUAAAGGGCGCGUAGGCGGCCCUGGCAGUCGGCUCGUGAAAGCCCGGGGCUCAACCCCGGAGGUGCGGCCGAUACUCCAGGGCUGGAGGCCGGAAGAGGAGGGUGGAAUACCCAGUGUAGAGGUGAAAUUCGUAGAUAUUGGGUGGAACACCGGUGGCGAAAGCGGCUCUCUGGUCCGGUCCUGACGCUGAGGCGCGAAAGCGUGGGGAGCAAACAGG